This 466-nucleotide ribosomal RNA is filed under the name uncultured bacterium. RNAcentral's name for it is "partial 16S ribosomal RNA". It matches the Rfam family "Bacterial small subunit ribosomal RNA", at positions 28 to 507 of the family's 1533-position model. The record is from RNAcentral.
GACGAACGCUGGCGGCGUGCUUAACACAUGCAAGUCGAACGGUCAGGCUCCAGCUUGCUGGGGUACACGAUUGGCGAACGGGUGAGUAACACGUGGGUGUCCCGCCCUGCUAUUCGGGAUAUGACUGCGAAACUGGGUAUAUUACAGGAGAGGAUCAUGGUGUGGAUACUGUGGUGGAAAGAUUGUUCGGUGUGGGAUAGGCUCGCGGCCUAUCAGCUUGUCGGUGGGGUAUUGGCCUACUAAGGCGGCGACGGGUAGCCGGCCUGAGAGGGUGGACGGCCACAUUGGGACUGCGGCACGGCCCAGACGCCUACGGGAGGCAGCAGUGGGGAGUAUUGCAGAAUGAGCGGGAGCCUGAUGCAGCGACGCCGCGUGGGGGAUGACGUCCUUCGGGUUGUGAACUCCUUUCACCAUCGACGAAGGGUUUCUGACGGUAGAUGGAGAAGAAGCACCGGCUAACUACGUG